UAUCCUGUCUGAAUAUGGGGGGACCAUCCUCCAAGGCUAAAUACUCCUGACUGACCGAUAGUGAACCAGUACCGUGAGGGAAAGGCGAAAAGAACCCCGGCGAGGGGAGUGAAAAAGAACCUGAAACCGUGUACGUACAAGCAGUGGGAGCACCCUUUGGGUGUGACUGCGUACCUUUUGUAUAAUGGGUCAGCGACUUAUAUUCUGUAGCAAGGUUAACCGAAUAGGGGAGCCGGAGGGAAACCGAGUCUUAAUUGGGCGUUAAGUUGCAGGGUAUAGACCCGAAACCCGGUGAUCUAGCCAUGGGCAGGUUGAAGGUUGGGUAACACUAACUGGAGGACCGAACCGACUAAUGUUGAAAAAUUAGCGGAUGACCUGUGGCUGGGGGUGAAAGGCCAAUCAAACCGGGAGAUAGCUGGUUCUCCCCGAAAGCUAUUUAGGUAGCGCCUCGUGAAUUCAUCUCCGGGGGUAGAGCACUGUUUCGGCUAGGGGGCCAUCCCGGCUUACCAACCCGAUGCAAACUGCGAAUACCGGAGAAUGUUAUCACGGGAGACACACGGCGGGUGCUAACGUCCGUCGUGAAGAGGGAAACAACCCAGACCGCCAGCUAAGGUCCCAAAGUCAUGGUUAAGUGGGAAACGAUGUGGGAAGGCCCAGACAGCCAGGAUGUUGGCUUAGAAGCAGCCAUCAUUUAAAGAAAGCGUAAUAGCUCACUGGUCGAGUCGGCCUGCGCGGAAGAUGUAACGGGGCUAAACCAUGCACCGAAGCUGCGGCAGCGACACUGUGUGUUGUUGGGUAGGGGAGCGUUCUGUAAGCCUGUGAAGGUGUGUCGUGAGGCAUGCUGGAGGUAUCAGAAGUGCGAAUGCUGACAUAAGUAACGAUAAAGCGGGUGAAAAGCCCGCUCGCCGGAAGACCAAGGGUUCCUGUCCAACGUUAAUCGGGGCAGGGUGAGUCGACCCCUAAGGCGAGGCCGAAAGGCGUAGUCGAUGGGAAACGGGUUAAUAUUCCCGUACUUGGUGUUACUGCGAAGGGGGGACGGAGAAGGCUAUGUUGGCCGGGCGACGGUUGUCCCGGUUUAAGCGUGUAGGUGUGUGUUCCAGGUAAAUCCGGUUCACUUUAACACUGAGGCGUGACGACGAGGCACUACGGUGCUGAAGCAACAAAUGCCCUGCUUCCAGGAAAAGCCUCUAAGCAUCAGGUAACAUCAAAUCGUACCCCAAACCGACACAGGUGGUCAGGUAGAGAAUACCAAGGCGCUUGAGAGAACUCGGGUGAAGGAACUAGGCAAAAUGGUGCCGUAACUUCGGGAGAAGGCACGCUGACACGUAGGUGAAGUGAUUUACUCAUGGAGCUGAAGUCAGUCGAAGAUACCAGCUGGCUGCAACUGUUUAUUAAAAACACAGCACUGUGCAAACACGAAAGUGGACGUAUACGGUGUGACGCCUGCCCGGUGCCGGAAGGUUAAUUGAUGGGGUCAGCGCAAGCGAAGCUCCUGAUCGAAGCCCCGGUAAACGGCGGCCGUAACUAUAACGGUCCUAAGGUAGCGAAAUUCCUUGUCGGGUAAGUUCCGACCUGCACGAAUGGCGUAAUGAUGGCCAGGCUGUCUCCACCCGAGACUCAGUGAAAUUGAACUCGCUGUGAAGAUGCAGUGUACCCGCGGCAAGACGGAAAGACCCCGUGAACCUUUACUAUAGCUUGACACUGAACAUUGAGCCUUGAUGUGUAGGAUAGGUGGGAGGCUUUGAAGUGUGGACGCCAGUCUGCAUGGAGCCGACCUUGAAAUACCACCCUUUAAUGUUUGAUGUUCUAACGUGGACCCGUUACCCGGGUUGCGGACAGUGUCUGGUGGGUAGUUUGACUGGGGCGGUCUCCUCCUAAAGAGUAACGGAGGAGCACGAAGGUUGGCUAAUCCUGGUCGGACAUCAGGAGGUUAGUGCAAUGGCAUAAGCCAGCUUGACUGCGAGCGUGACGGCGCGAGCAGGUGCGAAAGCAGGUCAUAGUGAUCCGGUGGUUCUGAAUGGAAGGGCCAUCGCUCAACGGAUAAAAGGUACUCCGGGGAUAACAGGCUGAUACCGCCCAAGAGUUCAUAUCGACGGCGGUGUUUGGCACCUCGAUGUCGGCUCAUCACAUCCUGGGGCUGAAGUAGGUCCCAAGGGUAUGGCUGUUCGCCAUUUAAAGUGGUACGCGAGCUGGGUUUAGAACGUCGUGAGACAGUUCGGUCCCUAUCUGCCGUGGGCGCUGGAGAACUGAGGGGGGCUGCUCCUAGUACGAGAGGACCGGAGUGGACGCAUCACUGGUGUUCGGGUUGUCAUGCCAAUGGCACUGCCCGGUAGCUAAAUGCGGAAGAGAUAAGUGCUGAAAGCAUCUAAGCACGAAACUUGCCCCGA
RNAcentral lists this ribosomal RNA (2387 nucleotides) under Salmonella enterica. Its description in RNAcentral is "partial 23S ribosomal RNA". It matches the Rfam family "Bacterial large subunit ribosomal RNA", at positions 430 to 2802 of the family's 2925-position model. Lineage: Bacteria; Pseudomonadati; Pseudomonadota; Gammaproteobacteria; Enterobacterales; Enterobacteriaceae. The record is from RNAcentral. RNAcentral also lists the same sequence under 1 other name.